This 611-nucleotide ribosomal RNA is filed under the name Clonostachys sp. RNAcentral's name for it is "eukaryotic LSU rRNA". It matches the Rfam family "Eukaryotic large subunit ribosomal RNA", at positions 24 to 664 of the family's 3401-position model. The record is from RNAcentral. Lineage: Eukaryota; Fungi; Ascomycota; Sordariomycetes; Hypocreales; Bionectriaceae.
CCCGCUGAACUUAAGCAUAUCAAUAAGCGGAGGAAAAGAAACCAACAGGGAUUGCCCUAGUAACGGCGAGUGAAGCGGCAACAGCUCAAAUUUGAAAUCUGGCGCAAGCCCGAGUUGUAAUUUGUAGAGGAUGUUUCUGGCGACGCGCCUUCCGAGUUCCCUGGAACGGGACGCCAUAGAGGGUGAGAGCCCCGUACGGUUGGAUGCCUAGCCUCUGUGAAACUCCUUCGACGAGUCGAGUAGUUUGGGAAUGCUGCUCUAAAUGGGAGGUAUACGUCUUCUAAAGCUAAAUACCGGCCAGAGACCGAUAGCGCACAAGUAGAGUGAUCGAAAGAUGAAAAGCACUUUGAAAAGAGGGUUAAAAAGUACGUGAAAUUGUUGAAAGGGAAGCGUUCAUGACCAGACUUGGGCAGGUUGAUCAUCCGUGGUUCUCCGCGGUGCACUCUGCCUGCCCAGGCCAGCAUCAGUUCGCCCCGGGGGAUAAAGGCUUUGGGAAUGUGGCUCCCUCGGGAGUGUUAUAGCCCACUGCGUAAUACCCUGGGGUGGACUGAGGUUCGCGCUCUGCAAGGAUGCUGGCGUAAUGGUCAUCAACGACCCGUCUUGAAACACGG